GGGUGUUUGGUUUUAGUGGUAUGAUUCUCGCUUUGUGUGUGAGAGGUUGUGAGCUUGAUUCUCGCAACACCCC
Molecule: transfer RNA, 73 nt
Filed under: Ipomoea nil (Japanese morning glory)
Lineage: Eukaryota; Viridiplantae; Streptophyta; Magnoliopsida; Solanales; Convolvulaceae
Rfam family: tRNA
About the family: Transfer RNA (tRNA) molecules are approximately 80 nucleotides in length. Their secondary structure includes four short double-helical elements and three loops (D, anti-codon, and T loops). Further hydrogen bonds mediate the characteristic L-shaped molecular structure. tRNAs have two regions of fundamental functional importance: the anti-codon, which is responsible for specific mRNA codon recognition, and the 3' end, to which the tRNAs corresponding amino acid is attached (by aminoacyl-tRNA synthetases). tRNAs cope with the degeneracy of the genetic code in two manners: having more than one tRNA (with a specific anti-codon) for a particular amino acid; and 'wobble' base-pairing, i.e. permitting non-standard base-pairing at the 3rd anti-codon position.
Source: Rfam by way of RNAcentral